GAAAGUGGUAAUGCCGGAUGCUCCAGUUGAUCGCAUGGUCUUCUGGGAAAGCUUUCGCGGUAUGGGAUGGGGUCGCGUCCUAUCAGCUUGACGGCGGGGUAACGGCCCACCGUGGCUUCGACGGGUAGCCGGCCUGAGAGGGCGACCGGCCACAUUGGGACUGAGAUACGGCCCAGACUCCUACGGGAGGCAGCAGUGGGGAAUAUUGCACAAUGGGCGCAAGCCUGAUGCAGCGACGCCGCGUGAGGGAUGGAGGCCUUCGGGUUGUAAACCUCUUUUAUCGGGGAGCAAGCGAGAGUGAGUUUACCCGUUGAAUAAGCACCGGCUAACUACGUGCCAGCAGCCGCGGUAAUACGUAGGGUGCAAGCGUUAUCCGGAAUUAUUGGGCGUAAAGGGCUCGUAGGCGGUUCGUCGCGUCCGGUGUGAAAGUCCAUCGCUUAACGGUGGAUCCGCGCCGGGUACGGGCGGGCUUGAGUGCGGUAGGGGAGA
Molecule: ribosomal RNA, 489 nt
Filed under: Bifidobacterium longum subsp. infantis
Lineage: Bacteria; Bacillati; Actinomycetota; Actinomycetes; Bifidobacteriales; Bifidobacteriaceae
Description: bacterial SSU rRNA
Rfam family: Bacterial small subunit ribosomal RNA
Source: RNAcentral